UAGCCAUGCGAGUCAACGUAGCAAUACGUGGCACACGGCUCAGUAACACGUAGUCAACAUAACCAGAGGACGUGGAUAAACUCGGGAAACUGAGGCUAAACCGCGAUAGACCAAGAUACCUGGAAUGGUUUUUGAUCAAAAUCUAUAUGGCCUUUGGAUUGGACUGCGACCGAUCAGGCUGUUGGUGAGGUAAUGGCCCACCAAACCAGUAACCGGUACGGGCUCUGAGAGGAGGAGCCCGGAGAUGGGUACUGAGAAAAGGACCCAGGCCCUAUGGGGCGCAGCAGGCGCGAAACCUCUGCAAUAGGCGAAAGCCUGACAGGGUUAUUCUGAGUGACUUUCGCUAAGAAAGUCUUUUGACAUCUCUAAAAAUGGUGUAGAAUAAGGGGUGGGCAAGUCUGGUGCCAGCCGCCGCGGUA
This 419-nucleotide ribosomal RNA is filed under the name uncultured crenarchaeote. RNAcentral's name for it is "bacterial SSU rRNA". It matches the Rfam family "Archaeal small subunit ribosomal RNA", at positions 46 to 472 of the family's 1478-position model. Lineage: Archaea; Thermoproteati; Thermoproteota. The record is from RNAcentral.